AUGGAAGCAGCAGCAGAUGAGGAGAAGCCACUACUGAUUCACUCUCAGGAUGAAGGUUCACAAUAUACAAGUGAUGGAACAGUUGAUAUCAACAAGCAGCCUGCUAGCAGGCGUAGCACAGGGAACUGGAGAGCAUGCUACUUCAUUUUGGGUGCUGAAUUCACCGAGGGAAUCUGUUUCUUUGGGAUCCAAAAGAAUUUGGUUACCUACCUCACGAGCGUGCUGCACGAGAGCAAUGUCGACGCCGCGAGGAACGUGUCGACUUGGAUCGGCAGUUGCUUCUUCACACCGCUUCUCGGAGCCUUCUUGGCCGACACAUACUGGGGGAGAUACCGGGCAAUAGUAGUCUUCCUCUCGGUCUACACCAUUGGGAUGCUGGUUAUGACACUGUCAGCGUCGCUCCCGGUGCUGAUGCCAUCUUUCAGCACCAUCGAAAUCCAGCGUGCUGCGGUCUACCUAGGGCUCUACCUCGUCGCCCUGGGGACCGGCGGCAUCAAGCCGUGCACGUCGGCCCUCGGGGCGGACCAGUUCGACAGCGCUGACCCGGUGGAGCGGGUGACCAAGGGCUCCUUCUUCAACUGGUACUACUUCCUGGUUAACGUCGGCUCCCUGCUGUCGACCACCGUGCUUGUGUGGGUGCAGGACAAUGUCGGGUGGGGAGUCGGGUACGCGAUCCCGAUGGUGUUCAUGGGCUUCGGCCUCGUCGUGUUCGUCUCCGGCAGGAAGGUUUACAGGUACAAGAAACUGGGUGGAAGCCCUCUGAAGAGGUUGUCACAGGUAGUCGUCGCCGCCGCAAGGAAUUAUCGUCUCAAGUUGCCUGAUGAUGACUCGGCCCUGCUGCUGCAUGAGGAGGAACUGCCGCCGAGUCAGGCGAAUUGCAGCACUGAGCGUACCAGUCAGUUCAGGUUCCUUGACAAGGCCGCCAUUGUAGUACCACCAUCUUCCGGCAAGGCUGUGGAGACGAUGGACCCAUGGAGGACGUGCACGGUGUCGCAGGUCGAGGAGCUGAAGAUGCUGCUGCGGGUGUUCCCCGUGUGGGCGUCUCUGCUCUUCUUCUUCGCGGUCACCGCUCAGAUGUCGUCGACCCUGAUCGAGCAGGGCAUGGCCAUGGACCAACACGUCGGCCGGUUCACGGUCCCGCCGGCCUCCCUCUCGACGUUCGACAUCCUCGCUGUCGCGGCCUUCAUCCCCGUCUACGACCUCGUGCUGGUGCCGCUCGUGCGGCGUGCCACCGGGAGGGACCGGGGCCUCUCGCAGCUGCAGCGCCUCGGCGUCGGCCUCGCGCUGUCCGUGCUUGGCAUGGCCUACUCCGCGUCGGUCGAGAUGAGGCGGUUGGCGGCGGCCAGAGCCGGCCGGAGGGUGAACAUCAUGUGGCAGACUCCGUCCUAUGUCGUGCUGGGUGUGGCCGAGGUGUUCACCAGCGUCGGCAUCAUGGAGUUCUUCUACGACGAGUCCCCGGAGUCCAUGAAGAGCAUGGGCGCGGCGCUCGCCCAGCUCGCCAUCUCGGCCGGGAACUACCUCAACUCCGCCGUGCUGGGCGUGGUCGCGUCGGCGACGGGGCGUGGCGGCGCACCCGGGUGGAUCCCGGAUGACCUCAACGAAGGCCACCUCGAUUACUUCUUCUGGAUGAUGGCUGGUCUCAGCGUGCUGAACCUGUUGAUGUUCAUCUACUUCUCGCUGAGAUACAAAGGCUAG
RNAcentral lists this ribosomal RNA (1695 nucleotides) under Triticum aestivum (bread wheat). RNAcentral's name for it is "partial small subunit ribosomal RNA". The record is from RNAcentral. Lineage: Eukaryota; Viridiplantae; Streptophyta; Magnoliopsida; Poales; Poaceae.